Molecule: ribosomal RNA, 497 nt
Filed under: uncultured bacterium
Lineage: Bacteria
Description: partial 16S ribosomal RNA
Rfam family: Bacterial small subunit ribosomal RNA
Source: RNAcentral
GAUGAACGCUGGCGGCGUGCCUAAUACAUGCAAGUCGAGCGAACAGACGAGGAGCUUGCUCCUCUGACGUUAGCGGCGGACGGGUGAGUAACACGUGGAUAACCUACCUAUAAGACUGGGAUAACUUCGGGAAACCGGAGCUAAUACCGGAUAAUAUAUUGAACCGCAUGGUUCAAUAGUGAAAGACGGUUUUGCUGUCACUUAUAGAUGGAUCCGCGCCGCAUUAGCUAGUUGGUAAGGUAACGGCUUACCAAGGCGACGAUGCGUAGCCGACCUGGGAGAGGGAUCGGCCACGCUGGGAGUGAGACACGGUCCAGACUCCGACGGGAGGCAGCAGUAGGGAAUCUUCCGCAAAGGGCGAAAGCCUGACGGAGCAACGCCGCGUGAGUGAUGAAGGUCUUCGGAUCGUAAAACUCUGUUAUUAGGGAAGAACAAAUGUGUAAGUAACUAUACACGUCUUGACGGUACCUAAUCAGAAAGCCACGGCUAACUACGUG